GACGAACGCUGGCGGCGUGCCUAACACAUGCAAGUCGAGCGGUAAGGCCCUUUCGGGGGUACGACGAGCGGCGAACGGGUGAGUAACACGUGGGUGACCUGCCCUCAGCUCUGGGAUAAGCCUGGGAAACCGGGUCUAAUACUGGAUAUGACUCCAUGACGCAUGUUGGUGGGGUGGAAAGCCUUGUGCGGCUGAGGAUGGGCCCGCGGCCUAUCAGCUUGUUGGUGGGGUGA
Molecule: ribosomal RNA, 233 nt
Filed under: uncultured bacterium
Lineage: Bacteria
Description: partial 16S ribosomal RNA
Rfam family: Bacterial small subunit ribosomal RNA
Source: RNAcentral